Molecule: long non-coding RNA, 14435 nt
Filed under: Manihot esculenta (cassava)
Lineage: Eukaryota; Viridiplantae; Streptophyta; Magnoliopsida; Malpighiales; Euphorbiaceae
Description: long non-coding RNA (MESC_LNC006762)
Source: RNAcentral
CAACAAUCCCUAUUCAUAGGGUUUUCUUAUACCUCAGAUAAAAUAUUCUGUCUUCUUCCAAAAUUUGCAAACCCUAUUUAUCAAUCCAUGGCUAGAGGGAAGCAAGUAUCUUAUGGUGAUCAUAAAACCGCUAGGAAAAUUUAUCAUGAAGCUCAAUCUGAGAGUACCGCAUACUUCUCUGCUUCUGAGAGUGAAGAUGUCUCCGAUUCGUCAGAAGUAGAGGUCGCCCAUGUUCAGAAACACAAUGGAAAAGGCUUGGUUGCAGGUAAGUCUUUUGAAUCAAAUAAGAAGAUAAUAUAUUCAGUUGCUGCUCAUAGUCUUAUGUUAGAUAGGGGAUUUUCAGACCAAGGUACAUAAAAUGGGAUGUCUUUAAAGACUUGCCAUUUGAAAUUGAGGAAUUAUAUAUCGCUCAGAAGUGGAAAAUGUUUUCUGAUAUAUAUAGGUGAUAUUAUCUUGAUUUAGUUGUUGAAUUUUAUAGAAAUAUACGAGUGGUUGACGAGCAAGAGUCCUUUAUCACAACCAUUCAAGGAAAAAUGGUCACAAUUACUAUUGAUGAUUUAGCCCAAGCUUUUGGAUUACCAAAUGAGGGAAAAUCGAGUUGGCAGUAGGAAUGAAGUGAAAAAAAGGCUUUUGGAUUACCAAAUGAGGGAAAUCGAGUUGGAAGUAGGAAUGAAGUGAAAAAAAAUGUCUGCUUUAUAAUGAAAAGGCUUUUAAAAAGUCCAUAUUCCCUGAAGGCACAUCUAAAAAUGAAAUUGGAAGUAGUUUACUGCCCCAACAAUACAAGAUUCUACAGAAAAUUGUUAUAUAUUUCUUGUAUCCAAGGACUGGCAGUAAGGGAUACAUGAAUGAGAUAGAUUUAUGCAUCAUGGGGCACAUGGUCAACAAAGUCCCAUACAAUUUGUCAUACUUGAUGUUCAAGAUUAUUGUUAAGGAUUCCAAGUGCCGAGAAUUGUCUUAUUCUAUGCAGUUAACUUUAUUUUCUCAGAAAUUAAAAAUUAAAUUGGUGAAAGAAAUAGGGUAUUGUAAUGGAAUUCCAAUUAAGGAGAUUUUUAGUUCAACUGCCAUGAUAAAGAGGAGAUGCAAUGUUAUGAUAGACAAAAAAGUAGAUGGAAUUGAAAUAGAUGGUGAAGGUAAAUCUGAAGCUGAUGGUGAUAAUGAAAAUAGAAAAAGAACAAAGAGAGAUGGUGAAAUUGGUGUAAGUUCAGACAAUGUGAUUAUUGCUUUAGCUAAGGAAAAUUUGGAGAAGAUGAAGGAGAUCAAAGAGGCUGCAUCUUUCUUGAAAAAUUCUCAAGAUUUGCAGCAAACUAUUAUAAACAGCCAAAGUGCAAAUAUUGCUAUGUUAGUGAAUUGAAUGGAUAGAAUGGUAUGGUUUAUGAAGAAGAUUUUUCUUAAGUUAUUUAGAGAUACAUUUGUAAUAUUUGGUGAUUUUGGAGAUUACCAAUGUGGAACUAUUCCUGCAGCUGGAGGUAGUGGUUACAGUACUUUUACUGUACCAGUUGAUAAGAAAAAAUAAUGAAGAAGAAGAACAUGCACAAACUAGAAAAGAAGUUUCUUCAGAAAUUUCUUCAUCACAUUCAAGCAAUAGCAGUAGCGAGAAAAAUUCUUCAUAAAAUUCAAGCAGUGGCAAUAGUAAGAAAUCUAAUGGCAGUAGCAAGAAAUUCAGUGGCAGUAGCAAGAAAUCCAGUGGUAGCAGUGACAAAGCGAGUGAUGGUAGUGACAAAAGUCAACAUCAGCAAGAACGAGGUCAUAUUGAGUGCAACUCUAGUUCACCUAAUGAGCAGUCACAUGAUCAGUCCCUGAAAAAGUUAAAAUUGCUCAGCUAAUUACAUUCUACAUUCUGAUUCACUAACUUGUGCUUUACAUUAUGGACAGAAAAGAACCAAAUCUCAAGCCAGGAAAUCUGGUUUUAAUGGCUUACCAAUAUUUCAUUUCACUGUACCUGAAAAUGCCAUAACAACAAAGAAAAAGUUAAUAUCAAAAGUUGAUCUCACUAAGGUAAGAAGUGGAAAAGUUCCUGUGGCCACUAAAGUUACAAAAUCAGGAGAAGUUGGCUGCAAAGACAAACCAGAAGAUAUCUAGGGUUUUUUGGUUUACAUCUAGACAAAUGGUUUUUUUAGACCUUUGAAAAUUUUAUUAAAAGUUAUUUAAGUUUUGAUCAAAUAAAAUAAUUCAUUUGGCCCUUUAAAUUUUUAAAAAUGGCACAAAAAAGUCUAAAAUCUAACGCCGUUAAAUCUUCAUCAACAAAAGGACAAUAAAAUCAUUAAUAAAUAUCAUGAUAGUCAUUUAAGUUUUUGAAUAAAUAAUCUUAAUAUUAUAUUUUAAUAAUUUAGUUUAUAAAUAAUUUAUAUUAAUUUAUAUUGUUAUAAAUGAAUAGAAUAAUCUUAUAAAAUUGAUAAAUAAAUAAAUAAAGUAUUAUUUAAAAGUUUUAGAAAAAUUAACAUUUAAAUUUAAUAAUAGUAAAUUAAAAGAUUUUUUAUAUCAAUUAAAACCAUAAAUGAUUUUAUAUUUUUUCUUUUAUUUUCUUAUUAAAUAAAGAUCAAAUUUUAAUAUUAGAAAUUUUUUUAAAAAAUUUAUAAUAUGAUAUAUGUAACAAAAAUAAUAAAAUAUAUUAAAAGUUUAAAUGUAAUUUUCUUAUAUAGAUAUAAAUUUUAAAUAAUAUUAUAAAUUAAUUGAGGAAUUAUCUUAUAAUUUUUUAUUAAUUUUAAAUGAUUUUUAGCAAUCCUUAUAUUUUUAUAAUUUCUAUAAUUAAGUUUAAUUAAGAAAAUAUUAAUUAGUUUUUUAUAAAUUAAAGUUUCAAUAUAUUUUUAUAAUUUGCAUUAUUUAUCUUAUAUAUGUAAUAUUAUCUAUAAUUAUAAUAAUAUUUAUAUAUUUUAAUAACAAUUAUAAAUUUUUAAAUGAGAUAUUAAUAUUAAAAUUGAUAUUUAAUUAAAGAAAAAAUAAAAGGUAAUUUGAAUUUUUUUUAAAAGUGAACUAUUUUUUUAUACUUUAUAAUAAUUUUAAAUUUAAAUAUUUAUAAAUUUCUAUGAUAUUUUAUUUAUUUAAUAAAAUUAUUAUUUUUAUUCAUUAACAAUAUAAAUAUAAAUAAGUAUAUUUAUAAACUAGAUAUUAAAAUUUAAAAAUUAAAUUUAUUUAUCCAAUAAAGAGCUAUUAAGCUAUCUUUUUAAGAGUUUAAAUGUUUAAUUUUUUAAUUCAUAAAUGGAGAGUUAAUAAUGUUAUUAUUUUUGGGGCUAAAUGGCUAUUUUAAAAAAAUUUAUGGAUUUAAAUAGCUAUUAUAUUUUAGUUUAAAGCAUCAAAUGGACAAUUUUAUUUAAUCAGGACUUAAAUGAUUUUUGAUAAAAUUUUCAAGGGUCUAAAAAGGUCAUUUGCCUUUACAUCUAUUUUGUUAGAUAAUCUUGAAAUUUUAUGUUUAUUGUGUUUUAUUUUCAGUGUUUAUUAGAUUUUAGUAUGUAACUAUUUGUUAGAUUCUAAAUUUCAAUAUUUACUAUGUUUUAAUUAGAUGGAAUUGUUUUAAUUGAUAAUAUGUAUAGCUUAUUUUAGUUAUAUAUUGAGUGAAAUCAUCCUCUCUCGCGAUUAGAGAAAGUUAGAGAAAUUUUACUGAGAUUGCUCUCUUUCUCUUCUCAACUAUCUGAUUUCUAAAUAUCCAAUUUUGGUAUCUAGAUAUCUAUUCCUAAUACUGAUUUUUAUUGAAAAUGGUUUUGUGCAACUUUAAAAAUUAGGUAUCUAUUUGUAUGUAUUAACUAUCUACUAUGUAUAGUUGAUUAACAGAAGGUCUAAUCAUGUUUCCAAAAUUUUCUUUUGUUUCAAUGUCAAUAAACAAGCCACCAAUAAUAAAUGAGAAAUUUACUGUGUUUGUCAAGAAUAUUUUGGAAAGAGCUUUCUUGCAUUGAAAAUGAGUAACAUAUAAAUUUCCAAGUUUCUUCCAAUAGCUGUCAAACAUAAAUUCACUUAAGUAUACCAAGAGUCACUGAGCUUUUAAUGGUUCCAAAACAUUUACUUUCUAUAAAAAAAUUACGUUAGUUUGUUCUUUAUAUAUGUCUCAGUUAUAGCCAUUUCAUGCAAACCUUUUUUAAUACAACUCACUUUCUCUCAAGUAUUAUGGAUAAAACAUCAUAAGCAAAGAGAUUUAUUAUGGUGCAAUCUUUGUCUGCUACUUUAAAAACUCUUAAAACCUUAUACCGCUAUGUCAGAGAAGAACUCAUAGAUUGAAAGGCUGAAGUGAAGGAAUUACUGGUUAGAAUCAUUCGAGAUAAUGGUAUUGAAUACAUUCGAGUAAUUUUAGUGGAAGAAUUUCCUUUGCUGAAGACCUACCAUGUUUUAGUUGAAUCUGAUGGUCUACGUUCAAAUGAGAAAGUGGUGGUGAAUAUUUUCGAUUCUAUUGAUGAAGAUAACACUGAUGGUGAUGGAACUGUUGGAGAUAAAAAUGUAAGUUUAAGAGAAAAGGUUUAAAUGUCAUGCUGAAUCAAAACCUAUCUUUAUCUAUUUUAUUAUAGCAUUCUUUUGAGUAUUAACUAUCAAAACCUAUCUUUAUCUAUUUUAUUAUAACAUUCUUUUGAGUAUUAACUUCUAAUAUAAUUUUAUUGCUUCUUCUUCUUAUGUCUUAUGAUCAUAAAUUACAUUAUUCAGGUAAAUAAUUGAAAAUUUUACAUUAUCCUCAUUAAGCAUUAACAAAUUAACAAGCUAUUUGUUUCAAUUAAAACUACUGUAUGUAACCACAUUACUGCAAAUAAUAGGUUAAAACUAAUGUAGAAAACUAUAUUAUUGUUAUUUAGUUGAAUAUGAAUGUAUCUAUCAUUUAUUAUAUAUCUAAUUUAAAAAUAGAAAGUUAUUUUUUUUUUCUAAAUUUAGGAUUUCAUAAUUUGACGAUUGAGAAUAAGUACCAAGUCACUUUCAUUUAAUAAUAUUAUUAUUAAAAUUCCAAAAUAAAAAUAACAACAAAGAUAAGAAAAGUAGCAAAAAAAAUUUUCAUCUGUAAGCGUAGCAAUAUAAGGUAACUCAAACAGAAUAAGCUCUAAUUAAACCAAUUGUAGAUCUUCAAUGAUUCUGCAAUUUUCUUACCUUCAAACUACUAUGUGAGCAUCAAGACUUCGUCAAAUGAGUAUGAUUAAACAACAUCUCAAAAAUAAAUUCAGCAAUAAAAUUGUUGAUUUCAUCAGAACUUAAAAUACCAUUUCUAGAGAUAUCAUAUUCAUGUGUGCAUUCAAUCUCUAUAUUGUUCAUAUUACUUUAUAGAGAUACUUCACAUGACACAUACUCUACCUCUUUAUUUCUAGAGUUUUAUUCAUUAUAUGUAAAUACAACAUCCUCCAUUGUCCCAUAAGACUUAUACAAGCUUUUACUGACACCAAUACCAUAUAAUGUGUAUUCUUCCUAUGAUUCAUAUAUCUCAGGUUUGAUUCCUCUAAAGACUAACAUAAACCUUUGAAAUUUGACUCUUCAUCUUCCAUGUUCUAUGAUUUGUUAUCAUCCUUCCUCAUAAGAAUUGAACUAAAAAUCUCAGGAUGUGAAAAUGAACAAUGAUGGAACAAUGGUAGAAUCUAUCCGAGUAGAUGCAUUUUCAUUGAGAUCUUUGAUUUCAAGCAAUGGUGCAUGCAACUUAAACUUUUGUUGAGCCCUAUGAAUAACAUUAAAGAUUUGUUACUUACCGGUGCACAUUUAAUGAGAAUAAAAUUCAAAUUUUCAACUAGAGAGAGAAUGAAAAUGAGAGUUGGAAACUAGAAGGGUAAAAGCAUCAUCUGACAAGUACCAUUUGAAUUCGAUCCCGAUAUAAUUAUUGGGAGCAACGUGUCUGCUGAUCGACCUGUUGGCCAGACGUCCUGAUGAUUCCACGCCUUGAUGAUUGAUCGACCAACUUGUCAACCAGACGUCCUGAUGAUCCGACUUGUCGACCAAACGUCCUGAUAAUCUGACCUGUCAAUCAGAUGUCCUGAUGAUCUAACCUGUUAACCAAACGUCCUAGUUUGUGUGUGACCUAUCGACCUAUAUUACCGACUUGAUGACCUAUUGAUCAACCUGUUGUGGUUUAAGGCUUGAUUUGUGUGUGAAUAUCUUUUUUUCCUUCUUUGUCUUGUGCAGUAUAGGAAGUUUAGUUUAUACAAUAUAGAAAGUUUGGCUUGUAUUGUAUAUGAAGUUUUGUAUUCUUAGGAUUUUUCUAAACAGGAGUGAACCUAAUAGUAUAUAUAUUAUUUUCACAUUCCUGGCAAUGAAAGGGUAAGAUUUUCAUUCCUAAAUUAUGUGAUUCUCUUUAUUUACAUGGUAUCAAAGUCAUAGAGGUUGAAAAGAAACAAGGGGAGACUUCAGGAAUAAUAAAAAAUUCUUCCUAUCCUCGUACACUAAAUUCAAAUGACAAUCCGGGCAAUUUGAUUACCCAGUGCAGUUAAAAGGAGAGAACUACGAAGAAUGGGCAAAGGCCAUGCGGACUGUGUUGAGAGCCAAAAAGAAAUAUGGCUUUAUCAAUAGAUCCAUCUGUAAUACCCGGCUAGACUCCGACAUUGAAAUUCCUACCGUCCGGUGGGAUUUGGAUAUCGGAAACCUCUAAAAGGGUAAAAGCAUGUUUUUAUGAAAUGUUUUCACGUUUUUAAUGGUUUUAAGUAUGAAAUUUAAUGAGUUUUUGCAUGAAAAGUCUUUGGAGGAAAACCCAGGUUCGGCCGCCGAAAGUCAAGUUCGGCCGCCGAACAUGCAUGCGUUUUGGAGGCACGUUAGGCCCCCGAAAGCAUGAGCGAGGGAAGUCCAGGUUCAGCCGCCGAAAGUCAAGUUCGGCCGCCGAACAUGGCAUGCAUGCGGAGGCACUUUCGGCCCCGGAACGUGGCCUGGCCAGCCACCUAUAAAAAGGGGCACUUAGCCGAAAUGGGCGAGCUUUCUCCCAUUUUCGGCCACAGCUAGCUUCCGACCUCCCUCUCCCCAAAUCUUGUGUUCUUUCUUCAGAUCUCCUCCAUUUUUCUUGAGUUUUAACCUCACAUUGCAAGUUUUGAGCUUUUAAGACAAGUUUUGGAGCUUUGGGAACUCAGGAGCUCAUUUGCUUGGGUCUCCGAGUUUAGGUCGUCUCUCUCUCGAUCUUCAAGAGGUAAGAGCCGAUCUUAAGCUCAUAGUAUGUUUUAAAUAAGUUUUAUGAAGUUUUAUGGGGUAGAAAUGCAUGUUUGAGUUAGUUGAGCUAUGUUAGGUUUUAUGUGAUUUUUGAACAAUGUGGCAUGUUUGAGUAUGUUUGAAGUGUUGUAGAUGGGGUAUAUGUUUGUUUGAGGCCCCUAGGAGCUUGUAUGCAUGUUUUGGUUGAGUGGUAUGCAUGAUUUGAGCUUGGGAGGCGACAUGUGCAUAGGAGAGCUGAGUUUCUGCCAUUCGGGAGAAACUCAGGUUCGGCCGCCGAAGGGACUUUCGGCCGCCGAACCCCCUUGUGGAGGCAGCAUUCGGCUGCCGAAGCUUUCCCCCGAAAGAGGACUUUCGGAUCUGUCCGGGACUUUCGGCCGCCGAAGGUGCCGCCGAAAGUGCCUGACUUUCGGCUCUGGAGGGACUUUCGGCCGCCGAAUCUGCCGCCGAAAGUGCCCUGUUCAGCCAUUUCAUGCAUGUUCUUCUAGGAUUAUUUCAUGAUGUUUUAGGGGGUUUUUGGGUAGUUGUUUAUGAGUUGUUUAGAGUAUGUUUGGCACCUCACUGGUGUCCACCUGUGUAGGACCGGACCCGAGGAACCGAGGUGUUUAGCAGUGUUAGCUGCUUCAGAGUUAGUCCAGAGCUAGCCAAAGGUGAGUGGAACUAACCCUCAUGUUUUAAAUCAAAUGUUUUCAGCAUGUUCAAGCAUGUUCAUACAUCAUGAAUACCAUGUUAUGCAAUAGGUUGUUUGCAUUAGAAUUCACGAAUAUGAUGCAUUGCAUAAUACGAUGAUGAUGAUGUGGAUGGAUACUGGAUGAUCCUCUAGCCCUCAGUAUGUUAUGACAUGAUAUGAAUUGAUAUGAUAUGGCAUGUACGAUAUGAUAUGAGAUGAGAAGCCCAGGCGUGGCCGUAUCGCCCCUGGCAUAAAGUAUGAGAAGUCCAGGUGUGGCCGUAUCGCCCCUGGCAUAAAGUAUGUGAAGUCCAGGCGUGGCCGUAUCGCCCCUGGCAUAAAGCAUUGUUGACUUGUUAUGGUACGAGAUUGAUAUGUAGAGGGCUAUUGGUGACAGAUUCAUCCUUGAGGUGAUAUAUUUGUGAUGUGACGCAUUCCAUGAUAGCAUACGUUAAAAUGAACUGUUUUCUUUUAUGGUUUCUGCUCACUGGGCUUUUUAGCUCACCCCUCUCCCCUAACCCCAGGUUUGCAGGGUCAGAGAUAGUCAGGAGAGCAGCAGGUUACGUCCAUGGUCAUGUUUAUGUAAUAGAAUAGUAGUGGACAUGAUGUAAUGUAAGGUUAUGUAUUGAUGAAAAAAGAGAUGUAUUGCAUAAUGAUAUAUGUUCAGAGUUAUAGUAUUGUGCUUGGCCCGAGUUGGAUAAUCCCUUUGUACAUGAGUUUACAAUUUUAUGUUUUAAAGUUUAUGCUUAUGUUUGAUCAUGUUUGGGAUUAUACCAGCUGUACAGGAUGUAUGUUAGGCUUGCUACGGGUCCCGGCGACCUUAAGUCGAUCUGGAUCCUAGCGCCGGUAGCGGUCCGGAUUUUCGGGUCGUUACACCAUCAAACAACCAGCGGACGAUGCACUGGAACUCAAAGAUUGGUGGACAGUUAACUCUAUGUUGGUUUUUUAGGUAUUUAAUACUUAAACCAACACUUUGAUCAACUAUCUCUCACGCUGAAAGAGUAAAGAAUCUAUGGAAAGAUACUAAGCAGAGAUUCUCGAUUGAAAAUGGACCACGAAUGCAGCAGUUAAGAUCUGACUUAGCAAAAUGUAGGCAGGAUGGUCAAUCCAUUGUACUCUAUUUCGGUAAACUCAAAAUUUUGUGGGAUGAGAUUAAUAAUUAUGAUCAAAUACUAGUGUGUGCAGGUGCAGGCUACAAAUGUAAUCUUACCAUUGAAAUGAAGCGAAAGCGUGAAGAAGAAAGAGUUCAUCAGUUUCUAAUUGGCUUGGAUGAAGAAGGUUAUGGUACCAUGCAGUCCCAUAUCUUGAGCACUGACCCAUUACUAAUUUGAACCGUGCUUAUGCUAUGGUGGUUCACCAAGAGCGAGUGAGAACUGUGACGAGAAGCAAAGAUAAAUGAGGUAACCCUAUGAGCUUCACAAGUCAGGCCAGUGGUCGGAAUUCAAGGGGGAUAAACAUAAAACUUGCUCUCAUUGAAAUUGAGAGGGUCAUGAAACUGAAAGUUGCUUUCAGUUAAUAGGCUAUCCAGAAUGGUGGGAUAAUCAGCCUUAUAAAAAUAUUUUUUUUCUUUACUUCAAUAAAAAUAAAAUAAACUGGAGGAGGACAUAACAAAGGAGGUGCUACCCGUGCUCACGCAGUGCAAGCAAUUGCAGUUGAUACUGGACGAGAAGUAAUGACAGAUGCAGAUCGAAAAGGGCUGAACGGACUCAAUGACGAGCAAUAGGCUACUCUGCUAGGCUGUUAAACUCUCACCAGAAUACUAAUGAGAGGUUAAUAGGUAACCAAAGAAAUUUUUCUUGGAUUAUUGACACAAGAGCUUCCCAUCAUACAAUAGGAACUAAAGCUUUUUUAAGUGACUUACAUGACAUUGCACCAUGCUCCGUCGGAUUGCCUAAUGGGGAGAAAAACAUGAUAAUCAAAGAAGGAACCAUGUUUCUUGGCGAGAAUCUAAAAUUACAAUGAGUUCUUUUUGUUCCUAAUUUGAAAUGCAAUUUGAUUUUUGUCUCUCAGUUUCUUAAUGAUUCAAAUUUGGUUAUUCAACUCAUUAACAAAAUAUGUUCUAUACAGGACCUAAAUUUGAAGAUUCUGAUUGGAGUGGGUGAACAAUGAGAGGGGCUUUAUUUUCUCAAGGGAGUCACUUCAGUUCAUGCUUGCAAAUUGAAUAGUUGAGGAACUUUUGAGCUUUGGCAUAAAAGAAUGGGUCAUCCGUCAUUUAAGGUGAUAGACUUGAUGCCAGGAAUUGAUAAAUUGGAUAGACAAAUUAAUAAAACUUAUGAAGUAUGUUUUAGAGCAAAAUAAACGAGAGAGGUUUUCUUUUCUAAUAAUAAUAAAGCAACAAAAUGUUUUGAUUUGAUACACUAUGACUUGUGGGGACCUUAUACAGUUUUCGCCUCUUAUGGAGCCCUUUAUUUAUUGACCAUAGUUGAUGAUUGUUCCAUGCUGUAUGAAUUUAUUUGCUUAAUAGAAAAAGUGAUGCGGCUUGUGUUCUUAAGAAGUUUGUAGCCAUGAUCAAGUGUCAAUUUGAGAAAAAUGUGAAAGUUGUUUGGAGUGAUAAUGGAAGUGAAUUUAUAUGUUUAAAGCAAUACUUUGAAGAUAUUGGAAUAUUGCAUUAGACCUCUUGUGUAGGAAUGCCCCAACAAAAUGGCCAAGUGGAGAGAAAGCAUCGACAUAUUCUCAAUGCGGUAAGGGCCUUGUGUUUCCAAGUAAACUUGCCCAUAGAAUUUUGGGCGAAUAUGUACUAACAACCUGAUAUUUAAUUAACGGAACUCCAUCGGAGUUGUUGCAUGGCAAAAACUCCAUAUGAGACUCUCUUCAAGCAAGCUCUUACAAUCACCUUUGAGUUUUUGGUUGCUUGUGUUAUGCCCAUAACUUGCAACGGGAUAAAGAUAAAUUUUCCAAUAGAAGUCGACAAUGUAUUUUUGUUGGGUAUUAUUUUAGAUAAAAAGGUUGGAAGUUGUAUGAUUUGGACAUUCAAGAGUACUUUGUAUCAAGAGAUGUUGUGUUUGCUGAAACAAAAUUUCCAUUUGUCAAGACCAUUGAUAAUGAGGCCAUUGAUGCAAGAGUUGUGGACCUGGGGCUUGCAGUUGAUGACUCACACAGUGACGUAGGAGAGGAGUCUCCCGGCAACCUCAACAGUUCAUAUAUUGACCAUCAUCAGGAAGACGACCUUCCCAUAUACAAUAAAGAGGUCAAAAAGAGUGAUGUAGCUCCCGAACAAUUAGGAAGGGGACAACAAACCAAGCAAGUUUCAAUUCAUCUCAAAGACUAUGUGACUCAUGCGAUCAGCGUAAGCCCGUCGACGUUGUAACAAUCAGCUGCCUGCUUGGAAUUCAAUCCCACAUCGGCGGAAUACGGCAAUUCCGAAUUGUAUAUAAUAGCUAACACGAAACUACUAAAUAACUUGGAUUAACCAUUUUGGGCUAAGUGGAAAGUGGAUCCAAAAGUUAUUUGGGUCAGUUCCGGCCGGGCUGACUUAGACGUGCUCAUCAUCUCCAUCUGGUUCUUCUUCAGGUGCUCCUUAUCCUAUAGUACAUUAUAUGAGUUAUGAUAAAUUCUCUCCACAAUAUAGGUGUUUCUUGGGAGCGAUUACUGCAGGACAUGAACCCACCUCUUAUGUUGAAGCUUUUCAAGAUGCACAGUGGAAAGGCCAUGCGCACAGAAAUUUAGGCUUUGGAGGAAAAUGAUGCAUGGACAAUUGAAGCUUUACCUCCUAGAAAGCGAGCAAUUGGUAGCAAGUGGGUUUACAAAAUCAAGUAUAAUUCUGAUGGGAGUAUUGAACAAUAUAAGGCACGACUGUUAUCUUACGUAAUAAACAAGUUGAAGGGCUCGAUUAUCAGUACACCUUUGCACCCAUAGCAAAAAUGGAUACUAUGCGUACUCUUCUUGCCGUUGCAAUUGCCAAGAAUUGGGAAUUACAUCAAAUGGGGUUCCAUAAUUCAUUUUUACAUGGUGAUUUGCAUGAAGAAGUCUACAUGAAGAUGCCACCCGGCUUUGGAUCUUCCACUUCUGGCCAAGUCCGUCACCUCCGCAAGUCUCUCUACGGUUUGCACCAAGCGCCUCAAUGUUGGUUUGUGAAGUUGGCUGCCUUUUACGAGUAUAUGGAUUUCAGCAAUCAUAUUCAUAUUACUCCUUGUUCAUUCUUCACAUUGGCUCUAUUCAUUUCAUUGUCCUGGUUUAUGUUGAUGACUUAGUUAUCACAGGAAAUAAUCUUUUCGCUGUCCAGAAAUUCAAGGAGUACUUAAGCCGCUUGUUUCCACAUGAAAGACUGAAAUUCUUCUUGGGGCUCGAGGUAGCUCGAACCACAAAAGGUCUUUUCUAUAUCAGUGUAAGUAUGCCUUAGAUGCGAUUUCUGACAUUGAAUUGCUAGGUUCCAAACCGGAUGCCACUCCUCUUAAACAAAAUCAUAAGCUGACUCUUGCGCUGGGUGUUGAAUUCACUACUCCUACUUCCUAUAAGCAUUUGGUGGGUUGCCUUAUUUAUUUAACCAUUACUCGGAUUGAAUUAUCCUACUGUCUGCAUAUCCUUGAGCAGUUCAUGCAAUGACCACUACAGGUUCAUUGGGAGGUAGCUUUCCAAGUAAUUCAUUAUCUCAAAGGAUAUCCUGGCCAUGGUGUCUUGAUGCAUGCCAAUUGUAACCUUGCCUUGAUCACUUACUGUGAUUCUGACUAGACUAGUUGCCCCUUGACGUGCAGGUCCCUCACUGGCUAUUUUGUUCUGUUGGGUGGCUCUCCCAUUUCUUAGAAGAUUAAGAAGCAACCGAUCGUAUCUCGUUCUUCCACUAAAGCCAAAUAUAGGUCCAUGACCACUGCCUCUUGUGAACAUAAAUGGUUAAAAGGCUUAUUGAUUUCUCUUGGUGUGUCUCAUUCUAUGCUUAUGCAAUUGUAUUGUAAUAGUCAAGCUGCUUUGCACAUUGCGGCCAAUCCUAUUUAUCACGAACGUAUCAAACAUGUAAUACCUGGCUAGACUCCGGUAUCGAAAUUCCUACCGUCCGGUGGAAUCUCGGAUGUCGAAGACCUCUAGAAGGGUAAGACCAUGUUUUCAUAAAAUGUUUUAAUGUGUUUUAUGAUUUUAAGUAAAAAGGAAAUGAAUUUUUGCAUGAAAACAACCUUGGAGGAAAACCCAAGUUCGGCCGCCGAACAUGGCAUGCAUGUGGAGGCACGUUCGGCCCCCGAACGUGGCCUAGCCAGCCACUAUAAAAGGGUCCCUUAGCCGAAAAUGGGUGAGCUUUUCUCCCCAUUGUCGGCCAAGGUGAGCUCUCCGCCGUCCCUCACCAAUCUUUGAGUUCUUCCUUCAAAUCUUUCACGAUUUUCACAAGUUUUCAUCUUGUUUUGAAGAUUUUCAAGUUUUGAGCAAGUUUUGAGUUUGGAGACCCAAGGAAGUUGUAAAUCUCCCAUCUCCGAGUUUAGGUCGUCUCUCUCUCGAUCUUCACGAGGUAAGAGCCGAUCUUUAGCUCAAUGCAUGUUUUAAGUAAGUUUUAUGAAGAUUUAUGGGGUAGAAUGCAUGUUUAGCUUAUAGUUAGGUUUUUGAGUUAUUGUUGUGUUUUGAGUAAUGUGACUUGCCAAUGUAUGUUUGAUGUGUUGUAGAUGGGGUUUUAGAUAGUUUGAAGCCCCUAGGAGCUUGUAUGCUUGUGUAUGUGUGUUGUAGAAUAGAUUUAUGCAUGUUUGGAUGGAAUGGGAGGCGUAUAUGCAUAGAAGAGCUGAGUUUCUGCCACUAAGGGAGAAACCAAGUUCGGCAGCCAAAGGAACUUUCGGCCGCCGAACAUGCUUGUGGAAGCAGCCUUCGGCUGUCGAAGCUUGCCCCCGAAAGGAGACUUUCGUCUCUGUCUGGGAGUUUCGGCCGCCGAAAGUGCCGCCGAACAUGCAUGAGUUUCGCCUCUGUCUGGGAGUUUCGGCCGCCGAAGGUGCCGCCGAACCUGCCUGACUUUAGGCUCUGGAGGGACUUUCGGCCGCCGAACCUGCCGCCGAAAGUGCCCUGUCCAGCCCUCUUUUGCAUAUUUUUCUAUGAUUGUUUCAUGAUGUUCUAGGGGGUUUUGGGGGGAUGUUUUUAGAGAUAUGUUCUAGUUGUUUGGUCCCUCAUUUGAGUCCACCUGUGUAGGUUCGGACCCGAGGAACCGAGGACCUCAGCAGUGAGUCAGCUGCUCCAGUGUCUGGUCAGAGCUACCCAGAGGUGAGUGGAAUAAACCUUAUGCUUUUAAAUAAAUAAAUCAGUUUUAGCAUGAUUCACGCAUCAUGAAUGCCAUGAGAUAUAAUAGGGUGUUUGCAUUAGACUCACGAAUAUGUUGCAUUACAUAAUAUGUUGAUGAUGUGGAUGAAUGUUGAAUGAUCCUUUAGUCCCCAUAUGUUAUCAUGAUGAUGAUACGGUACGGAAGACCAGUGAGGCCCAUUCUACACCCCUGGCACAGUUGGACCAUGUAGGGGACUUUGGGUGACAAAUUCAUCCUUGAUGUGAUUAGCUGUGAUGUGAUGCAUUUCAUGUUAUCAUAUGUUUUAAAUGUUUUAUUAUUCUGCUCACUGGGCUUUAUAGCUCACCCCUCUCCCUUAACCCCCAGGCUUGCAGGUACAGGGUAGACCAGGAGGUCAGAAAGAGUAGUGAAGUCUUAUGUAUGUAAUAGAUAGAAUGUGGACAUGACGAAUUGUAGAAUGACAAAUUGUAAAGUGAUGAAUAGUUAUGUUAUGUAAUGAUGAUAUUGAGG